GUCUUUUUGAGUUAUUUUUAAAGUCUGACCUGCCCACUGAAUUUUAAAUGGCCGCAGUAUUCUAACUGUGCAAAGGUAGCAUAAUCAUUAGUCUUUUAAUUGAAGGCUGGUAUGAACGGUUGGACGAGGUAUAAGCUGUUUCAUAUAAAUUUAUAUUAGAAUUUUAUAUUUUAGUUAAAAAGCUAAAAUUUAGUUAAAAGACGAGAAGACCCUAUAAAUCUUUAUAUUUUGUUUAAUUUAAAUUUUUUUGAUUUGUUUUAUUUUUAUUAUAUUAAAUAUUUUGUUGGGGUGAUGUUAAAAUUUAAUGAACUUUUAAUUGUUUUAAAUCAUUAAUUUAUGAAUUAUUGAUCCAUUAAUAGUGAUUAUAAGAUUAAGUUACUUUAGGGAUAACAGCGUAAUUUUUUUGGAGAGUUCUUAUCGAUAAAAAAGUUUGCGACCUCGAUGUUGGAUUAAGAUAUAGUUUUAGGUGUAGUCGCUUAAAUUUUAAGUCUGUUCGACUUUUAAAUUCUU
This 510-nucleotide ribosomal RNA is filed under the name Dacus humeralis. RNAcentral's name for it is "partial 16S ribosomal RNA". The stretch from base 386 to 510 matches the Rfam family "Bacterial large subunit ribosomal RNA", at positions 2473 to 2597 of the family's 2925-position model. Lineage: Eukaryota; Metazoa; Arthropoda; Insecta; Diptera; Tephritidae. The record is from RNAcentral.